UUCCAGACUCCUACGGGAGGCAGCAGUGGGGAAUAUUGCACAAUGGGGGAAACCCUGAUGCAGCGACGCCGCGUGAGUGAAGAAGUAUCUCGGUAUGUAAAGCUCUAUCAGCAGGGAAGAAAAUGACGGUACCUGACUAAGAGGCCCCGGCUAACUACGUGCCAGCAGCCGCGGUAAUACGUAGGGGGCAAGCGUUAUCCGGAUUCACUGGGUGUAAAGGGAGCGUAGACGGCGACGCAAGUCUGGAGUGAAAGCCCGGGGCCCAACCCCGGGACUGCUCUGGAAACUGCGUCGCUGGAGUACGGGAGGGGCAGGCGGAAUUCCUGGUGUAGCGGUGAAAUGCGUAGAUAUCAGGAGGAACACCGGCGGCGAAGGCGGCCUGCUGGACCGUGACUGACGUUGAGGCUCGAGAGCGUGGGGAGCAAACAGGAUUAGAUACCCGGGUAUG
This 448-nucleotide ribosomal RNA is filed under the name uncultured bacterium. RNAcentral describes it as "bacterial SSU rRNA". It matches the Rfam family "Bacterial small subunit ribosomal RNA", at positions 329 to 793 of the family's 1533-position model. The record is from RNAcentral.